Molecule: non-coding RNA, 27 nt
Filed under: Rattus norvegicus (Norway rat)
Lineage: Eukaryota; Metazoa; Chordata; Mammalia; Rodentia; Muridae
Source: RNAcentral
UCUUACCCUUUUGGUGGUGGUGGAGGC